GAUGAACGCUGGCGGCGUGCCUAAUACAUGCAAGUCGAGCGUACAGACGAGGAGCUUGCUCCUCUGACGUUAGCGGCGGACGGGUGGGUAACACGUGGAUAACCUACCUAUAAGACUGGGAUAACUUCGGGAAACCGGAGCUAAUACCGGAUAAUAUAUUGAACCGCAUGGUUCAAUAGUGAAAGACGGUUUUGCUGUCACUUAUAGAUGGAUCCGCGCCGCAUUAGCUAGUUGGUAAGGUAACGGCUUACCAAGGCAACGAUGCGUAGCCGACCUGAGAGGGUGAUCGGCCACACUGGAACUGAGACACGGUCCAGACUCCUACGGGAGGCAGCAGUAGGGAAUCUUCCGCAAUGGGCGAAAGCUUGACGGAGCAACGCCGCGUGAGUGAUGAAGGUCUUCGGAUCGUAAAACUCUGUUAUUAGGGAAGAACAAAUGUGUAAGUAACUAUGCACGUCUUGACGGUACCUAAUCAGAAAGCCACGGCUAACUACGUG
This 497-nucleotide ribosomal RNA is filed under the name uncultured bacterium. RNAcentral's name for it is "partial 16S ribosomal RNA". It matches the Rfam family "Bacterial small subunit ribosomal RNA", at positions 28 to 507 of the family's 1533-position model. The record is from RNAcentral.